Long non-coding RNA from Suricata suricatta (meerkat), 343 nucleotides. RefSeq lists it as uncharacterized. The record is from RefSeq and is a predicted model, not a curated record. The transcript has 2 exons. NCBI's taxonomy places the organism in Eukaryota, Metazoa, Chordata, Mammalia, Carnivora, Herpestidae.
GUUAGAUAUGAUGUUCCUGAGGAACAAGUGUAUCUUGCCCAGUUUCUUGGUCAACCCCGAGCCGCCUGUGGAGCUCAGCCCAGGCUGCGCUGCCAUGACUGGAGCCGGGGAAGGUUGGCUCCUUGUUCCUGCGCUUCCUGAGCUCCCGCGGCCCUUGUGGGACUGCUUUCCGGCCUGCUCCUCCCCUGCGCCUGUGCUCUCCGAGUCCUAGAGGAGCCCGCCCUCCGCGUUACCUGCCACAGUCUUGCGGGUGCCCUCUGUCCCUGUGAACUCCGUGGUCCUGCUGGCCCCCCUGGGGAGGCUGGUGAGCAAGUCGGAAGUAAACCUGGGGUUCUUCUCUGCA